RNAcentral lists this transfer RNA (51 nucleotides) under Setaria palmifolia (palmgrass). RNAcentral describes it as "partial tRNA-Cys". The record is from RNAcentral. Lineage: Eukaryota; Viridiplantae; Streptophyta; Magnoliopsida; Poales; Poaceae.
UGGGGAUAAAGGAUUUGCAGUCCCCUGCCUUACCACUUGGGCCAUGCCGCC